Molecule: transfer RNA, 64 nt
Filed under: Dipodomys ordii (Ord's kangaroo rat)
Lineage: Eukaryota; Metazoa; Chordata; Mammalia; Rodentia; Heteromyidae
Rfam family: tRNA
About the family: Transfer RNA (tRNA) molecules are approximately 80 nucleotides in length. Their secondary structure includes four short double-helical elements and three loops (D, anti-codon, and T loops).
Source: Rfam by way of RNAcentral
GGUAGCUUAGUGGUAGAGUGCUUGCCUAGCAUGCAUGAAGCCCUGGGUUUGAUUCCUAGUAUCA